This 301-nucleotide ribosomal RNA is filed under the name uncultured bacterium. Its description in RNAcentral is "partial 16S ribosomal RNA". It matches the Rfam family "Bacterial small subunit ribosomal RNA", at positions 509 to 809 of the family's 1533-position model. The record is from RNAcentral.
CAGCGCGCGGGAAUACAGAGGGUGCGAGCGUUAAUCGGAUUUACUGGGCGUAAAGCGUGCGUAGGCGGCUUCUUAAGUCGGAUGUGAAAUCCCUGAGCUUAACUUAGGAAUUGCAUUCGAUACUGGGAAGCUAGAGUAUGGGAGAGGAUGGUAGAAUUCCAGGUGUAGCGGUGAAAUGCGUAGAGAUCUGGAGGAAUACCGAUGGCGAAGGCAGCCAUCUGGCCUAAUACUGACGCUGAGGUACGAAAGCAUGGGGAGCAAACAGGAUUAGAGACCCCAGUAGUCCCUGUCUCUUAUACAC